GGGUGGAUUGCUAGGGAUGCUACAGUAUUAUAAAUCAAUGCCUUAGUGUCCGCAUAUGUCCAUGAAAGACCCUAAAUUCUGCCUUCACACGGCAGGUGUCGCAGGUUCGAUCCCUGCACCGCCCACCA
RNAcentral lists this transfer RNA (128 nucleotides) under Lysobacteraceae bacterium. Its description in RNAcentral is "tRNA-OTHER". The record is from RNAcentral. Lineage: Bacteria; Pseudomonadati; Pseudomonadota; Gammaproteobacteria; Lysobacterales; Lysobacteraceae.